RNAcentral lists this long non-coding RNA (663 nucleotides) under Homo sapiens (human). RNAcentral's name for it is "non-protein coding lnc-CSPP1-3:1". The record is from RNAcentral. Lineage: Eukaryota; Metazoa; Chordata; Mammalia; Primates; Hominidae.
AUGCCCAGUAAAGACACAGAAACUGUCUCUGCUACGGAGCAUAAGUAGCCAGAGCCACAGGCUAAGACAGGGUCUGUAACAGAAUCUAACAGUGAUGAAUCAGUACCAGAGCUUGAGGAACAAAAUUCCACACAGGCAACGACCACACAACAAGCCCAGUUGUCAGCAGCAGCUGAAAUUGAUGAAGAACCAGUCAAUAAUGCAAAACAGAAUUGGAGUGAAAAGAAGGCACAGAAGGUUAUAUCCAAACUGUGUUUUAAGCAGGUUACAGGGGUUACUAGAGACAUUAUUUGGAAAUCUAAGAAUACUCUGUCAUCACAAAACCAGAUGUCUGUAAGAUCCCAGCUUCAAAUACCGACAUGGUUUUUAAGGGAAGCUGAGAUUGAGGUUUAUCUCAGCAAGCACAGCUAGCGGCUACUGAGAAAUUCAAAUUUCAAGGUGAAGCUCUCUCAAACAUUCAAGGAAACAUGUAGCCUCUUCCAACUGUACAAGAGGAGAGUAAAGAGGAAGUUGAUGAAACAGGUGAGGAACUUGAUGAAACGUGUGAAAAUUAAGGACACAGAAUUGGUCAUGUUGCAAGCAAAUGUAUCAAGAACAAAGGCAGUUCAAGGCCUGAAGAACAACAGUAAUGAUAUUGUUAACGUGAGUAUGGAAUUAGCAAUU